Molecule: long non-coding RNA, 1566 nt
Organism: Coturnix japonica (Japanese quail)
Lineage: Eukaryota; Metazoa; Chordata; Aves; Galliformes; Phasianidae
Source: Ensembl
AUGCUGGUAGCAGCUGCAGACUGUGGAUCUUCACUUCUCCAGCUUCUCUUGGGCUGGGUACAUUGUGUGAUUGCUCCCCACCAGGAAAAGUAUACUGGGAAGAGAGUCAGCAAGGCAGGAUCCACCAGGGAUCUCAGCAAGUUCCCCAUCAGCAUAAUUGAAACUUUGACAUCUGAACGAGAUGUCAGAAGGAAUCAUCAUCACCAAGUCUUCUGUCUCAGCUCAGUCAGCUCUACUGUGCUGGAGGGAGCUGCACAUUACUACAAAAGAAUUUCUGACUUUUUUCACCGUUUCAAUGGCAAAGAAUCUGACAGGAGGUCACCUCACAAGGCAGGAAAUCACUGGUUCUGUGGUGCUGAAGAAUUUUUCAGUCAACCCAUCAUCUCGAGUUCACCAGCUUCCCAUGCAAAUCUGGCAAGGCGCUCCCAUGUACUGUGGUAUCCUCAGUUCUCCAGACCUAAACCUGAGAAUAUUUGUGACAUAGAAUCAUAGAAUCACAAGGUUGGAAAAGACCUACAAGAUCAUCUAAUCCAAUCGUCCUCCCUUUACCAUACCUACAGAAAACCACUAAACCAUAUCUCCUAGCUCCCUAUCCAGACACUUCUUGAACAGGGAUGGUGACUUCACCUGCCUGGGCAGGCUAUUCCAGAAUUUGACAUCCACAUUUGACAUCUAGGAGCUGAUUUCUGAAGACUGAAGCUCUGCAGUUGCUGAAAUGGCAGAGACUUCUAUAAAUACAAGUGCACAGGCUGAAGUGAGUACUGAUUUUGUACAUGAAGUAGAGCUUACAACACAGAUAGAGGGUCCACCAGCUGGGUGGGAUCUAUUUUUUUUUCCAAGACAUACAACAUAGUGGAGUGAUACAAUAGAUGUUGUUCAGAUUUAUGGAUUGAAAGGAAUAAGUGAAGUUACAGCUUAUUCCAGUAGCACCUCAUACUUGAUUAUUACAUACGAAGUGAUAGCAAUAGAUUGUGCUGCCAUCCACAAAGUGUUGGUUUUCAUUCUCCCCUAUCAAUAAUGGUAACUUUUCCUGGUAAUAGAAAACAACUGCUUUGCACCUUGGAAAGACAAAUCUUCAGUCUCUAAGCAUUAAGUAUCUUUGCUAUAAACAUUUUCUAUUUUGGAGGUAAUUAAGUUGAGUUAGAAUCAGGGAAAAAAAUCAAAGAAAGCUGAAAGAGCAUUCCACAAUGUAGCAGAACUAAGCUAUUCCAUCAGUGAUCUAGUCCUGCACUGAUUGACCUUAAAUCUGUCACUGUGUUUUCAUCUCCCUCUCAAUGAGUAUUUUUCAGGAACCAAGGAACAAUACUUAAAAGUCCAUGCCCUCCCUACAACCAGCCUGCAGACAGGCCUAUGGAUAAGUCUGGUCUCAUACGAGAAUCCCUGAGUUACUUUCCAAACCAGCCCAAUAACUCACCCUGGCUUGCUGAAGGGUUCUUUGGAAAGACUGGUGGGGCUGCAUGUAUUUUGGGGUUUUGGGGAAACAUAAACCCUCUGUCACUGUAGAGUUGUUCAAGAAAAAAUACAAAUAAUAAUAAAGAAAUGUUUCAUAGAGCUAUGAUUUUUUCC